Molecule: ribosomal RNA, 303 nt
Filed under: uncultured bacterium
Lineage: Bacteria
Description: partial 16S ribosomal RNA
Rfam family: Bacterial small subunit ribosomal RNA
Source: RNAcentral
AGCAGCCGCCGCGGGAAUACGAAGGGGGCUAGCGUUGUUCGGAUUUACUGGGCGUAAAGCGCACGUAGGCGGAUCGAUCAGUCAGGGGUGAAAUCCCAGAGCUCAACUCUGGAACUGCCUUUGAUACUGUCGAUCUGGAGUAUGGAAGAGGUGAGUGGAAUUCCGAGUGUAGAGGUGAAACUCGUAGAUAUUCGGAGGAACACCAGUGGCGAAGGCGGCUCACUGGUCCAUUACUGACGCUGAGGUGCGAAAGCGUGGGGAGCAAACAGGAUUAGAUACCCCCGUAGUCCCUGUCUCUUAUAC